GUCCACGCAGUAAACGAUGAUUACUAGGAGUUUGCGAUAAAAUGUAAGCUCUACAGCGAAAGCGUUAAGUAAUCCACCUGGGGAGUACGCCGGCAACGGUGAAACUCAAAGGAAUUGACGGGGGCCCGCACAAGCGGAGGAACAUGUGGUUUAAUUCGAUGAUACGCGAGGAACCUUACCCGGGUUUGAACGCACAGCGACAAAUCAGGAAACUGAUUUUCUAGCAAUAGCGAUGUGCGAGGUGCUGCAUGGUUGUCGU
RNAcentral lists this ribosomal RNA (259 nucleotides) under uncultured bacterium. RNAcentral describes it as "partial 16S ribosomal RNA". It matches the Rfam family "Bacterial small subunit ribosomal RNA", at positions 793 to 1055 of the family's 1533-position model. The record is from RNAcentral.